Pogonomyrmex barbatus (red harvester ant) is the source of this 539-nucleotide long non-coding RNA. RefSeq lists it as uncharacterized. The record is from RefSeq and is a predicted model, not a curated record. NCBI's taxonomy places the organism in Eukaryota, Metazoa, Arthropoda, Insecta, Hymenoptera, Formicidae.
CCGAGCUCAACCUUGGCUGGCUCAUGCGGAGAUGGAGACUGUGGCGCCGAGGCGACGUUUUCCAUACAAAAGGAUGGGAAACUGAAUUCACUUAGGACAACUAUUGUGCGAAAAAUUUCAAAAGCAUGUCAAUCAACGGCAAAUAUGCUAUUCAAAGUACAACUAUGCUAUUCAAAGUGCAAAACAUGCAGGACGUUAACCUCAAAUCAACUUUUUGGGCUCAUUGGGUUCAUUGACUCCUCCCCCUUUCCCUCCGUCUACGGUCUAAACAGUAGGUGAACAAUAUGGAGAGAUUGUUUAUGCAAGGAAAAAUGACCAGAGACAUAGAUAGCUGUGCAGCAUUAACAUGCUACAUUAACGCUGUGGAGGAUCUUCUUGGAACAAACGUAGAGAUUAGAACAGCAGAGAGGACCUGAUGGACACAUGCGUUCAAGGAAGUCAUACAAAAUCUUGGACAAAGAUAAAUAAUUGAUGACAAUCAUGAUUAUUACACAUAUGACAAGAUGUUAAGGCUAGAUGGAUGGAUGGAUUUUUUUGUA